GUGUAGAGAUCCUCGCCCCCGGCACCGGCGGUCCCGCUACCGCUCGAGUUACCCUGACCCGUGCCUACCGCACCCCCGUGAGCCGGACCACCGGCUUCCAACCCUGAGGACAGGACAGACACGGUCCAGUUUGAUAAGAAAAACGGAAGGACGAGGAAAAAGGACCCUCAUUGGUAUGACAGCACAUCAUUGCGUGAAGAGCAGAGUACGGCAUAGCACGGGAUCAAGUACAAGUAUCGACAGCCGGUGGCGUCGUCAUCAGAGGCAACUCGAUCCUCACCGGUGAUUCCUCUGCUGUACAUGCUCAUAUUAUCCUCCGGUUUUGGUUUCUUCACGGCGUGGCUGGCUAUCGGGCAGCCCGACAAG
Molecule: long non-coding RNA, 366 nt
Organism: Formica exsecta
Lineage: Eukaryota; Metazoa; Arthropoda; Insecta; Hymenoptera; Formicidae
Exons: 3
Source: RefSeq, a predicted model, not a curated record